Molecule: ribosomal RNA, 468 nt
Filed under: uncultured bacterium
Lineage: Bacteria
Description: partial 16S ribosomal RNA
Rfam family: Bacterial small subunit ribosomal RNA
Source: RNAcentral
GACGAACGCUGGCGGCGUGCUUAACACAUGCAAGUCGAACGGAAAGGCCCUGCUUUUGUGGGGUGCUCGAGUGGCGAACGGGUGAGUAACACGUGAGUAACCUGCCCUUGACUUUGGGAUAACUUCAGGAAACUGGGGCUAAUACCGGAUAGGAGCUCCUGCUGCAUGGUGGGGGUUGGAAAGUUUCGGCGGCUGGGGAUGGACUCGCGGCUUAUCAGCUUGUUGGUGGGGUAGUGGCUUACCAAGGCUUUGACGGGUAGCCGGCCUGAGAGGGUGACCGGCCACAUUGGGACUGAGAUACGGCCCAGACUCCUACGGGAGGCAGCAGUGGGGAAUAGUGCACAAUGGGCGGAAGCCUGAUGCAGCAACGCCGCGUGCGGGAUGACUGCCUUCGGGUUGUAACCCGCUUUCGCCUGUGACGAAGCGUGAGUGACGGUAAUGGGUAAAGAAGCACCGGCUAACUACGUG